UUUCCGUAGGUGAACCUGCGGAAGGAUCAUUAUUGUAUAACCGAGGUGCGAGGGCUGUCGCUGACCCGAAAGGUCGUGCACGCCCGAGUGCCCUCACACACAUCCAUCUCACCCCUAUGUGCACCACCGCGUGGGUCCCCCUUUGGCUUGUUCGGAGGGGGGCUUACGUUUUCACACAAACUUUGUAUGCAGUGUAGAAUGUAUUUUUUGUUUUUGCGAUCACGCAAUCAAUACAACUUUCAACAACGGAUCUCUUGGCUCUCGCAUUGAUGAAGAACGUAGC
RNAcentral lists this unclassified non-coding RNA (283 nucleotides) under plant metagenome. RNAcentral describes it as "partial contains small subunit ribosomal RNA, internal transcribed spacer 1, and 5.8S ribosomal RNA". The stretch from base 235 to 283 matches the Rfam family "5.8S ribosomal RNA", at positions 1 to 49 of the family's 154-position model. The record is from RNAcentral.